GAGUUGCGAACGGGUGAGUAACGCGUAGGUAACCUGCCUGGUAGCGGGGGAUAACUAUUGGAAACGAUAGCUAAUACCGCAUAAUAUUGACUAUUGCAUGAUAGUCAAUUAAAAGGUGCAAUUGCAUCACUACCAGAUGGACCUGCGUUGUAUUAGCUAGUUGGUGGGGUAACGGCUCACCAAGGCGACGAUACAUAGCCGACCUGAGAGGGUGAUCGGCCACAAGGGGACUGAGACACGGUCCUUACUCC
Molecule: ribosomal RNA, 251 nt
Filed under: uncultured Streptococcus sp.
Lineage: Bacteria; Bacillati; Bacillota; Bacilli; Lactobacillales; Streptococcaceae
Description: partial 16S ribosomal RNA
Rfam family: Bacterial small subunit ribosomal RNA
Source: RNAcentral